GCAGAGUAGGUACGGCGCGUAAAGUGUCGGGGAAUGGGAAGUUGACCCCGAACGAAGGGCUUGCCGCCCGCGGUUCCGUAUCGCAUCCGCUGC
This 93-nucleotide non-coding RNA is filed under the name bovine gut metagenome. RNAcentral describes it as "THF riboswitch". It matches the Rfam family "THF (Tetrahydrofolate) riboswitch aptamer". From Rfam's summary of the family: THF riboswitch presents a pseudoknot that joins P1-P2 and the loop of P3 and two THF binding. The record is from RNAcentral.